Hippoglossus stenolepis (Pacific halibut) is the source of this 8541-nucleotide long non-coding RNA. RefSeq lists it as uncharacterized. The record is from RefSeq and is a predicted model, not a curated record. The transcript has 3 exons. Lineage: Eukaryota; Metazoa; Chordata; Actinopteri; Pleuronectiformes; Pleuronectidae.
UGUCCGUCAGGAGUCCAGUUGGGAAAAUCUGAACAGCUACACUUGUCCUCACACAGAAAGCUGUUCAACAUGGAAAGCUCGUGACACGAGACAUUAUUUAUCUGAUAACCCGAGCUCGCAUGUGCACAGGACUGCAGGACCGGAGUAAUGUGAGAGCAGUUUUGAUUAAGGUGAGAACAUCCAAAAGGUAAAUAUGUCCUCUGUUGAUUUGUUUACGUUGCAACCAAAACACAGACCUUGGUGAGAUGAAAGUUGUCGCUCAGAAACAUCAAGCAGCCUGGUGAGAAAUGAGGAAUGACGCUAAAUAUCUUACGGAGACGGAGCAUCGGUUUAAACAACUCUAAACAGAUGGUUACAAAAGAAGGGCUGUUUUUUCUGAGUGGGGGGGGGGACCACACGUUUGCCUUAUUACAUCGUCACAUGUGUGUUGUAAAGCUGCAGCCAAUCCUGCUCCUGAAUCUAAUCACACUCACAGGGAAACGCAGUUCAGAGUAAAAAAAGAAUAAAAACAAAAGGAAAGAUGUGAGAAUAUCAGUGGAUGUCGUCGACUUUCAGAAGGAAACACAGACCCUUACUAAAGUAUAAAAAAAGAUUAUCAGCUUUACAAAGAGCAGAUAUUCAUUUAGGUUGUUCUUUCAUCUACAGUGGCUGUCCGAUGUUUGUAUUGAGGUCGUGUGUACAAAAUAUUGUUGAUAACAUUCCUAAAUAUAAAUUAGUUUACAUACAAAUACAAAAAGAGCUUGGAUUAUAAUUUCUUUUGUUUUAUUUUCUUUCUGUUUGGAACAACAGAUUGAUAUAGAUUACACUGUUUUACAUACAGUACACAGUUUUUACAUGAAGUUUUUGAUUGAGGCUUAUCAUCAAGGCAUGGGAGCGUUAGGAAUAUUAUUUAUUAUUAUGUAUGUACUAUGACAGCAUGCAUUUUGACACAUAUGAAUACAACCCAAUAUAUUUGCUUCUUUAGUUUUCUCUUGCCUGUGAAUGUAAUUUAAGUCAUGAGUUCUUUAAGGAUAUAAGCAGGAUACAACCACCAUACAGUGUUCGCCCCUUAUACAGGAGCAUGUGAUCCAGACUUUGAAAAUGAGUACAACUGUUAAUUACAGAAAAUGGAAACACUACUCCUAAGGUAUCAACAAUACUUAAACCAAAUACAAGAGAUAUUAAGGAACACGUGGAAAUCUUCAAAUAAUCUAAACAUUUGUGAGCAACAGUAAAGAUGGAUUACACAACUUUAUAACAUUUUAAUGGUAAAUUACAUCAUCUAUAAUAAAUUGCACUGAGCGCGAGUAUAAUGUUCCAUAUAAUUAGUAAUUACAGUAUAUUUGCACGUAUGAUACAUUAUAACUCAUUGUAAAUGUACAGUAUGUAUAUUAUUUUGCAGAUACUUUGUGUGUUCAUUCCACUGGACUGAAACCUCUUGUAUAUUUCUCCAUUCACACUUGCAGAGCAGAUGAAUGUGUCUUAAUGUGCCUUGGCUCCGACUCACAGUGGGAGCUGAUGGAUUGGAUCAGGUAUUUGAGUCGGUACCAAGGACACAUGUUCCGUUUUAACAGAUCUCUUAGAUCGACUCUAAUGAGUCUGAAACCACAAGCCAAACUUGUUUGAUUUGCCAGCAGAAUUGAAGCAUCACAUUUGUUCGUAACAAGCUGCACUAACUAAUCAGGUUGUGUGUGUGUGUGUGUGUGUGUGUGUGUGUUUGACCAAUCUGAAAAUUAGCGUGGCAGUGAUUACCACUGAUCUCUUAUUUCUGUCCUUGGAGAAGCGUUUAAAAUCUUAUUUACAUUGUCAUUGCCAGGCAAUCACACUGAUUACAUUUUCAUCCCUCCUAAUGAUGCUUAUUAAAUGUUUUAACUUUUUCCAGGUACCUGCUGAAGACACAGUCCUGAGAGACUUUUUUAUUUUACCUUAUCAUUCGCUCGUGAAUGUACAGUAUAUUGACCAAGCUUUUUUAAAUACUAUUGAAAGUGAGAAAGCAUUGAUAAAGUAUGUAUGAAGAAUAGUAAAGUUUUACAGUUGGUUUCAGUUGAUUUUGUCCCCGACCAAUGACUGUACUUUUAGGUGUUUUUUUCAGUUCGGAGAGUGGCGAGCAAUCGGCCACUUUAAACUAAAACACUGUAAUGACUGGGGAUGCAGGGUUAUACUGGCACUCCACAUCCAUCUACUCAGAACUAGCAGGUCCUGAGCUUGACCAAGAGCCGCCCUUUCAAAAUCCUUUUACCCCUUAGUGCCUCUGCAAUGGUAGAAUGUCCUGGACUUUGGAAAAUGACAGAAAAUAAAGCACUGGAAGCACAAAACACUCGAUAGUACUUUGUUCAGAAUAACUGGUCGAGCUGUAAGAUGCUAAACCACUGAGCCUUGUUCCUCCAGAAAACUCUGGUUUUCUGCUUUCAUUGUUAAGAAAGAAAUGUAUUGUUAACAGAUAGAAUGCAACCACCGAAGGCUACUUCUAAUUAAAAUAAUAGCAAUAAUCCAGUCGGAUGUGAUCAUAAUCUGUCUGCAGUGCCAGGGCGUAAAGGAUCCAGAGACAUGCCUCUCCAUCAUGCUUUGCUUCUCUCUCUGGCACAUUUGACAGCUCCACGCCUCAGCUAGAUUAGCAAAUUAUACAAAUGCAAGGGUGGCAAGGUGUAAUUGAAGAUGGCAAAAGGGCUGAUUGGGAGACGCUUAAAUGAUUGUUCUCCAGCGUUCAACACGGAGGGCGUGAGGCAGAGGCCGCGGAGAGAAACGCAAGCGAUCACUGCUCCUGACAGGUGGAUGACAACUCUCUCUCUCUCUCUCUCUCUCUCUCUGUCUCUCUCUCUCUCUCCCUCCCUGUCAACCUUUACAUACAGUGUCAGCAAAUGCAUGUGCAAGAUGGGCUCACUGUGUCUAGGUCCGUGCAUAAGCUUGUUUUUGUGAGCGUGUCUUUGCCUCUCAUGCGUUUAUGCCGAUGUGUUAACCUGCGUGCAAUAUGGCUGGCAGGCGUGCACAGAAGGCCCUGCGGACUUCCUUAGUCAGAGCCACCACAAAGCGGGGAAGAUUUAUAUCACACACAUUACAGCACUACCACCAUGACAGCAUCUACUGGAAGACCCAAGACACCUUUUAAUGAACACACUCAUUUAAGAAAUAUCACACUGUGCUCUGAAAUAUAAAUCAGAAAUGAAGAUGCUGCAGUGGAGGGAAGAAAUGGCCUGAUACAUGGAUGUACCUCUUUAUUUUGUUGAAUUCAGUAAUUGAAUUGAAGCUUUUACUCAGGGGUAGACUCAAGAGGUAGAGCAGGUCAUCCACAGACCAGAAGGCCGGCAGUUCGAUCCCCAUCACCCCCAUUUCCCAUGUCGAUUCAUCCUUGGGCAAAAUACUGAACCCAAAUUGCCUCUAACGCCUGUGCCGGUAGUGUGAGUAAUGUGUGAUAGAGAAAGCGCUGCCCAUAGAUGCACUGUAUGAAUGUGUGUGAAUUUUUGAAUGGCAAAACUGUACCAUAAAGAGCUUUGAGUGGUCAUCAAGACUAUAAGUGCUAACACGUACCAUUAACCAGACCAUUUACUUGUUUUAAAAAGCAAUAUAUCUUUUUGGAUAUAUCACCAAUUGUGCAUUUUUGUGCAGAAAUUUCCAACAGUGAAAUUCUUUCUUCUUGUAGUUCCCACUUCCAGUCCCUUGCCUGCGUGGCAGUCAUACAGUACUUGCCAAAAUAAAACAACUGACAUAUCACUUUUUCCUCUCAGAGUUGUGUUCUGUCAUGUUAAAUGCAGUUGACAGAGGAGCCAGGCAACACCCUAAACCUCUGGCCUGAGACUUUGUUUUCCCUGGGCACCACAGUACUGUACUCCCUCAAGCUUCCCUGUGCUUCAGGCUGCGGCUGCUUCACUUUACCCUCUCAUGUCGUACGUUUGACAGAACAGAGUGUUACACUCGUCUGUCAUGAUCUCAAAGGGUGACGCAAACGUAUGGAUCUAACACAACCGGAUAUCACUGCACUUACAACAAGUACAGCUCCUGGAAAUUUACUCUACUGUGAAUACUGCAAGGUGUGUGCAAAACGGGAAUAUACUUUUAUCAUAUAUCAUUCUGAUCUAGUAACAUUAAAAUACCAGUGAAAAAUCAUGUUACUAAUUAAACUUUGAAUUGGUUUCUCGAUUCACUUUGAACCCAAAAAUCAUAUGGUCUUCGCAGCACGUGCCUCUAUGUUUUACCUGACCGUGCCAUUGUGUAAACCACAAGACCCCAGAGUUUUACCAAAGACCCCAAACCUAUCUGUGCAUUUUGUGUCUAGUCAACAAAUGUACUUUUAGACUGAGGUGCAGACUAUCUUCAACAUUUUAUUCCCAGUUCGCUCAUUGAAGAAAAGCCACAAUGAUCCCUGAAAAUGAAGAAAGGAAAAAUAGGAUUGAUGGGAAAAAAAUGAAUGAUGCUUGGCUAUUGAUGUUGAUGAAUUUACUUGUGAAUACUUACUUGAUUAAACACUUACACAACACUUACACAAAGGUUAAAAACUAAUAGAGACAGACAAGAUAUAUAUAUAUUUUUGUCAUCACAUGAAAAAAUCUCAUCGGUCUUCAAAAAUAUUGAUUAGUUCAAGAGACUGAGAUUUCCUUUAUAUAUCAGGUUUUACUAUCGUACUUUAAAUUUCAAUAACCUACAUGGAAAUGUCACAAACAUAUGUAAUAGUCUGAUUCAUCAAGCUUGGUAUGAACUCCUCAUGAGUUGAUGCUAUAUAUAGCUUUACUUUGAAAAACACACUAAUAGGCAAUUUCUUGCUUGGCAUGCUUUCAAAGGAAGUCAGGAUCAUGUAUUGAGUUAAUAUGGCCUUAUUGAAUGUGCUAGUGUGUAGUUAAGUUGGGUUCAAAUGGGAUCACAAGUUUAUCACUCUCUCUGUUCCUAUUGGUUGUCAUAUCAAAUCGUCUGCAGUGGAGGUUUACUCAGGGGUGAGAGCACUCAAAGAGCAAUAUGAGGAGAAAAUGAGUUAAAUCAUUGAGAUUUAAUUGAAUGAUGUGGUGGCACUGUAUCUAAGUCAACGAUUAAAACUUGAAGCGUGAAUAUUAAUCAAGUGCUCAUUUUUUCUGGUAUUUUGAGUUUGCUCCAAUCUACUCAUGGAAGCUUAUGAGAUGUGGCAAAUCAGGAAGUCAUCCAAUUUUUUUUUGCUCUUUCUUACUCUUUAGCUAAUAUCUUUGACGUCCUCCCCUGAAUUGUAGAUAUGGGACUGACGUUUCAAUUGGACCGCCCGUCACUUUAAAGAUGGUGCCUCAGGCCGCAGCUUGAAUCACAAUAAGAGGAGGAGAGGCUCGCUUUUGCUGCCACUCAAAAUCCUCUUGUGAUUUCACAAAGCACCAUAUCAUACAUGUUUAAUUAUUUUUUAUUAUAUUCAUAUACAGCUAAUAUACAGUAUUUUGUCCAUAGUUACAUGAGCCGUCCAUCCCAAUUUGUACUCUGUAAAAAGAAAGAAAGAAACAUGAGAGAGAUUUAUGUGGAAGUUAGAGUGAACACAGAGCAGUGAGUGCAAGGGUAAGUGCUUCACUUUGUUACCAUGGACACCUGAAAAUGCUUUCUGUGAUUUUCUUUUUUUCAGCACAGGAGAGGAUGAACAGACUGGGAAGCAGAAGGAGAAAAAUAUGUUGGUUAGACCUGGAUUUCAUUCGGUCUAAUUCAUGAUUAGACAGAUUGUGUGUGAACAUAAUUUACAUCGCGUCAAUUUAGAGGAGUGAAUACAUACGUAGGUGUGUGUGAUUUAUUCUCUGAAUGUUUGAUACUCGUCAGGGAAUUUACUUUUCCUGUACAACUGUCCUUUAGGAAAAAUGUCAGGCUGGGCUUACAGAAGGAACAGUGUGGGAUAAAGACUCAGCCAUGGCACCAGUCAUAAUCCACCCUUCAAAAGAGCCAGAUGGAGAGGAUCCUUUCACAGGGGGGCCUCUUAUAAAACCAACACCACUCAUCAGGACAGAGCUCCAGAGGACCGGUCCGGUCAAACCUUGUUAAUCUAACUAUGGUCCAGGUUGGGUCGAGGCCUGGGCAUGGUAUUUAUCAAGCACAUCAGAUUGGGAGUGCUGAUUUAAAGUCAGCAUUUCAAAUCCUUUUAACUGAGAGUGAUUCGUGAUGAAAAUGGGGGGUUAAAGGGGGACCUGAGCAGUGGUCCUAAAUCAGCAGUCUUACCCCGAGACGCUUGAUAAACAUACAGCCCCGGGGGUUUGUGUCUGGGCUGGUGGGACUGUGGGGCAGAAAGGUAUGUGCUUAGUGGUGAUUGUGCGCCGCGGCCUCCCCUCAUUCUCCGAGGCCGAACACACACAGAGCGACCUUGUGUGGAGCAGAGGGCUGGGCAGACCCGCUGAAGUCAGCUCACGCCAUGCACUGCACUGUGGGCGAAAGAAGAAACGAUCCUUCUGGGUUACGCAUGCAAAUAUUCACCAGAAAAGGCCACGGUUUUCUGCAUAUUAUCAUUUAAAAAGAAACCCAGAAAACUGACAUACAUGCCUGUAUUCGUACGAGUGAUUCUCAUAGGCAUCAGCUCCGAGCCAGACUGUAGGCUUGUCCCAGACUACUGUAGAGUUGUUAUGAAAGCACUCAUAAAUCCACCCAGAGUUACAUAAACCUGUCAGUGGGUUCAUUACGAUAAUUACUUUAAUUUUCUGUUGAUGAUUUAAGGAUAAAGCAACAGGAAAAAAAAAAAGAAAAUAAAACAAAGUGAAACAAGUUUUCAGAGAGGACGCCACGGCACGUUUCCUGCUGAGCGCCCGUCACCUCUCAGCUGACAGGACCCUUUGUAUUUCACCACUGGCAUGGCCCACAGUGUAGUGAGCCACAGAUGCACCCUCGGCAUGCACCAGAAUACACAUGUGCACUAAUGAGUGAAUUCCGAACUUACAAUGCACAUGCAUGAACACACGCAUAAAUGCAUGGGCUAGACAAAAAUCCCUUAACCCAGAACAAACAAGAGUGUAUUUGGACUGGCUGGUCCUUGUUUGAUUUAAGUUUACUGACUGUACUGCAGCCAUUGUGGUUUUUGAGGUCGACAGACUGCCAUGCUGCUUUUUCCCCCCUCUUGACCCUGCCACACUCAUACCCUGCCAUACAAAGACAACCGGGCUUUAGUCCUCUGUCCCUCCACUUGGUCCCUCCACAGCUCCAUUAAAAAAAGGUAGAAACUGCUCAAAUGCCCUCAAAUGCCAGGCCCCUACUGGCAGGGCAGCGUACUCAGAAGAAACCUUCCGCCAAAAUACACAAGCCAGUAAAUUAACCCCGCUCAACGUGGAUAUGUCUGCACAUGCAAAUGGUUGUGUAUUGUUCAAGCUCUCUGGUGAUAAAAAGCAAUAACGUGUCUCUGCGGCUGUAACACAGAUGAUAUCACCAUGGUAAAGUUGCUUUGAUCACGACACCAAAUCUCUCCCUCAUCUGGCGCUGUCAUAAUUACAUGAACUCCCACCGACAUCCAUCAACCACGCCCCACCCCCACCCAAAAAGACGACUGAAUUCCUGUCAAUGAGGUCAUAGCGAAAAAUAAAAGGGAGACAGACGCAGACGCCUAAAUGUAUAAGUGUACAGGUAGUCAUGGUGACAGGAUUUUCCAAGAAUAAACAGAUUAGUUAAUUAUCUGUGCCCAGAAACAUGUAAACAAUACAACCAGAUCAAUACAAAAUAUAUUUCACUGUCACAAGGGUGUGAAUACGUAUCGUCAAGGGAACGCCACUGUUUUAUCUCCUGUAAAGGUGGAUUUCAUCUUUUGGAUGCAUUCUGGGAAAUACCAGUCAGUUGUUUUAACUCAUCUUUCCUUUAAAUCAUCAAUCUCAACAUUAGCUAAUUUGUUGAUUUGAAGAGAUGUAUAUAUAAAAUACUUAUUUAAAUGCAUCAGUCAGUGUUAUUAUAUUAGAUUUUGACAUCAGGUCUAAGAACCUGUCUGGAAAAUACUUGAUUAAAAAUAUCAAUUACAUCUGUGCCACCUCCACAACAGUCUAAUGUGCAAACAGUCACAGAGGAUAUUAUGAUUUAAACUCACAUUCUUCUGAAUGUAUCAUUAAGAGGGAGAAAUGUCUCGUAAAACUUUCCUCCUGCAUGAUUUUUAUCAGGUUUUAAAUGAGAAACAUUUCCUGAACAUUAUGGUUCUUUGGAAAAAAAACAAGACUGUGGGUGGAUUUUAGUCAUAGUUAUACUCAAUUAAAUGAGCUUAUAAUUACCAAAUUAUAGGUGUAUACCACUGCACCUGGUAUUUUGACAUUUGACAAGAUGCUAUCAAUGCCAUGUUAAUCUCUUCCAGUGGAUAAUUUACUUAUGAUUCACAUAUAUUAAGCUGAUGCGGGUUAUGAAACAGAUAACAUUGUUUGCUACAGCAGAGUUUAUUUAAUAUGUUUUACCCUAGGUCACCGAAUUAGAGAAGUAAUAAUGUUUAAAUAAGCUUUUAAUCUGGGAAUGUCAAUAAUACAAAGUCUUGGAUCUGGCUCGUUUAUAUAGCUGUGCAUAUUUUUUCGAAAUGCCUAUAGAAAGGUUAAAGAAACGCAUUUGAAGUUUGUGUUAAGUUUGGAUAUUUACUGUCGCUCGACUAAGAAUGUCGCCUACACAGUUUCAAGUUGUGGUGUGUGA